RNAcentral lists this ribosomal RNA (497 nucleotides) under uncultured bacterium. RNAcentral's name for it is "partial 16S ribosomal RNA". It matches the Rfam family "Bacterial small subunit ribosomal RNA", at positions 28 to 507 of the family's 1533-position model. The record is from RNAcentral.
GAUGAACGCUGGCGGCGUGCCUAAUACAUGCAAGUCGAGCGAACAGACGAGGAGCUUGCUCCUCUGACGUUAGCGGCGGACGGGUGAGUCACACGUGGAUAACCUACCUAUAAGACUGGGAUAACUUCGGGAAACCGGAGCUAAUACCGGAUAAUAUAUUGAACCGCAUGGUUCCAUAGUGAAAGACGGUUUUGCUGUCACUUAUAGAUGGAUCCGCGCCGCAUUAGCUAGUUGGUAAGGUAACGGCUUACCAAGGCAACGAUGCGUAGCCGACCUGAGAGGGUGAUCGGCCACACUGGAAGUGAGACACGGUCGAGACUCCUACGGGAGGCAGCAGUCGGGAAUCUUACGCGAUGGGGGAGAGCGUGACAGUGCAACGCGGCGUGAGUGAUGAAGGUCUUCGGAUCGGAAAGCUCUGUUAUUAGGAAGGAACAAAUGUGUAAGUAACUGUGCACGUAUUGACGGUACCGAGUGAGAAAGCCACGGCUAACUACGUG